This 253-nucleotide ribosomal RNA is filed under the name uncultured bacterium. RNAcentral describes it as "partial 16S ribosomal RNA". It matches the Rfam family "Bacterial small subunit ribosomal RNA", at positions 524 to 776 of the family's 1533-position model. The record is from RNAcentral.
UACGAAGGGGGCUAGCGUUGCUCGGAAUCACUGGGCGUAAAGGGUGCGUAGGCGGGCCUUUAAGUCAGGGGUGAAAUCCUGGAGCUCAACUCCAGAACUGCCUUUGAUACUGAGGAUCUUGAGUUCGGGAGAGGUGAGUGGAACUGCGAGUGUAGAGGUGAAAUUCGUAGAUAUUCGCAAGAACACCAAUGGCGAAGGCAGCUCGCUGGGACGGUACUGACGCUGAGACGCGAAAGCGUGGGGAGCAAACAGG